This 623-nucleotide ribosomal RNA is filed under the name Isochrysis galbana. Its description in RNAcentral is "partial Bacterial large subunit ribosomal RNA". It matches the Rfam family "Bacterial large subunit ribosomal RNA", at positions 1128 to 1850 of the family's 2925-position model. The record is from RNAcentral. Lineage: Eukaryota; Haptophyta; Isochrysidales; Isochrysidaceae.
GAAAGCGUAAUAGCUCACUGGUCUAAAUAAGGGUCUUUGCGCCGAAGAUGUAACGGGGCUUAAGAUAUGUACCGAAGCUGUGGAUGUACACUUUUGUGUACGUGGUAGCGGAGCGUUCCGUAAGCUGAUGAAGCCAUCUGGUAAUGGGUGGUGGAGGUAUCGGAAGUGAGAAUGCUGACAUGAGUAGCGAUAAAGAGUGUGAGAAACACUCUCGCCGAAAGUCCAAGGGUUCCUGCGUAAAGCUAAUCUGCGCAGGGUUAGUCGGCCCCUAAGGCGAGGGCGAAAGCCGUAGUCGAUGGGAAACAGGUUAAUAUUCCUGUACCUGGAGGUAGUGACGAAUCCCGUGUGUUGUCCACCCUUAUUGGAUUGGGUGGGCCGCGAAGGGGUUCCAGGAAAUAGCUCCUCCAUUAUAGACCGUACCCCAAACCGACACAGGUGGUCUGGUAGAGUAUACCAAGGCGCUUGAGAGAACUAUGUUGAAGGAACUCGGCAAAAUGCUCCCGUAAGUUCGCGAGAAGGGAGACCUCCACUUAGGCAACUAGGUGGGGGUGGCACAGACCAGGGGGUGGCGACUGUUUACUAAAAACAUAGGGCUCUGCGAAGUCGCAAGACGACGUAUAGGG